This 449-nucleotide ribosomal RNA is filed under the name uncultured bacterium. RNAcentral describes it as "partial 16S ribosomal RNA". It matches the Rfam family "Bacterial small subunit ribosomal RNA", at positions 29 to 523 of the family's 1533-position model. The record is from RNAcentral.
AGCGAACGCUGGCGGCAGGCCUAACACAUGCAAGUCGAGCGCCGUAGCAAUACGGAGCGGCAGACGGGAGAGUAACACGUGGGAACGUGCCCUUUGGUUCGGAACAACCAAGGGAAACUUGGGCUAAUACCGGAUAAGCCCUUACGGGGAAAGAUUUAUCGCCGAAGGAUCGGCCAGCGUCUGAUUAGCUAGUUGGUGGGGUAAUGGCCCACCAAGGCGACGAGCAGUAGCUGGUCUGAGAGGAUGAUCAGCCUCACUGGGACUGAGACACGGCCCAGACUCCUACGGGAGGCAGCAGUGGGGAAUAUUGGACAAUGGGCGCAAGCCUGAUCCAGCCAUGCCGCGUGGGUGAUGAAGGCCCUAGGGUUGUAAAGCCCUUUCGGCGGGGAAGAUAAUGACGGUACCCGCAGAAGAAGCCCCGGCUAACUUCGUGCCAGCCGCCGCCGUAA